UACGGGGGGGGCAAGCGUUGUUCGGAAUUACUGGGCGUAAAGGGCUCGUAGGCGGCCAACUAAGUCAGACGUGAAAUCCCUCGGCUUAACCGGGGAACUGCGUCUGAUACUGGAUGGCUAGAGAUUGGGAGAGGGAUGCGGAAUUCCAGGUGUAGCGGUGAAAUGCGUAGAUAUCUGGAGGAAUACCGGUGGCGAAGGCGGCAUCCUGGACCGACAUUGACGCUAAGGAGCGAAAGCUAGGGGAGCAAACGGG
RNAcentral lists this ribosomal RNA (253 nucleotides) under uncultured bacterium. RNAcentral describes it as "partial 16S ribosomal RNA". It matches the Rfam family "Bacterial small subunit ribosomal RNA", at positions 524 to 776 of the family's 1533-position model. The record is from RNAcentral.